Cotesia glomerata is the source of this 416-nucleotide long non-coding RNA. RefSeq lists it as uncharacterized. The transcript is spliced from 3 exons. The record is from RefSeq and is a predicted model, not a curated record. NCBI's taxonomy places the organism in Eukaryota, Metazoa, Arthropoda, Insecta, Hymenoptera, Braconidae.
UUGUACUGAUAAGCACUAUAUAGAAAUUGACACCAAAGUUAUUGAAAGUUGUCUAGUUUCGAAUGUUUAUCUAAAACACCAACUAUUGCUUUCUAUGCUUCGAAACGAGCAAUCAAUUUAUUAAAAAUCUAAAAAUGUCAAAGCUUUUUGUGUUGAUUGUUUUGAUUGCUGUUCUGGCAAAUAUAUUGAUUUCUUCAUCUGUCAUGGGUUGUUCAGGGAGAAGGGAAUUUUGUGAGGAAAACAGUCACUGCUGCGGAAAGAUGAAAUGCAUAUCAGCGCAGUUUGGGAGGUAUUGCGACUAUUAGGAAUUCCUUAUCACAUAUUAAUAUUAUUAAUAUAAUUAGUCACUGCAUAUUUUACUAAAUAUCUUCCUGUAACAAUAACAAUAAUAAAUAAAAAAAUAUGUGAACAAACUA